RNAcentral lists this ribosomal RNA (501 nucleotides) under uncultured bacterium. RNAcentral's name for it is "bacterial SSU rRNA". It matches the Rfam family "Bacterial small subunit ribosomal RNA", at positions 8 to 518 of the family's 1533-position model. The record is from RNAcentral.
AGAGUUUGAUCAUGGCUCAGGAUGAACGCUGGCGGCGUGCCUAACACAUGCAAGUCGAACGGAGUUAUCGGAGCUUGCUUGAUAACUUAGUGGCGGACGGGUGAGUAAUGUAUGAGCAACCUGCCUUUCAGAGGGGGACAACAGUUGGAAACGACUGCUAAUACCGCAUAAUGUGCGAGGGGGGCAUCCCUUUUGUACCAAAGGAGCAAUCCGCUGAAAAGAUGGGCUCAUAUCUGAUUAGUUAGUUGGCAGGGUAACGGCCUACCAAGACUGCGAUCAGUAGCCGGACUGAGAGGUUGAACGGCCACAUUGGGACUGAGAUACGGCCCAGACUCCUACGGGAGGCAGCAGUGGGGAAUAUUGGGCAAUGGGCGAAAGCCCUGACCCAGCAACGCCGCGUGAAGGAAGAAGGUCUUCGGAUUGUAAACUUCUUUUAUGAGGGACGAAGGACGUGACGGUACCUCAUGAAUAAGCCACGGCUAACUACGUGCCAGCCGCGGC